Molecule: small RNA, 226 nt
Filed under: Planomonospora parontospora subsp. sphaerica
Lineage: Bacteria; Bacillati; Actinomycetota; Actinomycetes; Streptosporangiales; Streptosporangiaceae
Description: Planomonospora sphaerica Actinobacteria sRNA Ms_IGR-5
Rfam family: Actinobacteria sRNA Ms_IGR-5
Source: Rfam by way of RNAcentral
ACGCAGAAGGGAGGUGGUCCAAACAAUGGUUGAUCAUACUUGGGCUAGCGAGGUGGCUGUCCGCUAGGACGCCGCGACUCCGGACUCUGUCCGGACGUCUCGCGACGUUCGGCGAAUCCACGACAAUCACCGGAACCCCGGGCUGCCGGAGGGCGGGCAUAUCCCGUCUUUGGUCCAUCCGGCCCUCACGUCUCGAGCGGAGGAGCGAGCCCGGGGUUCUCUUUUU